AGCUAUGAUUUUUUGUUUCUUGCGUAGUUUAGUCGUUUGGGCUCUGAUUUAAGAUGUGUCUGUUGAGUUAGCUUCCUAUCAUUGCAAAAAAUUUAUCUAAGUGCUCUUGUCACCUGUUGGCUUGAGUAAUUUAGUUUCGGGUCUCUUACUUGUGUUUGGCAGUGAUCUAGGACAGUGGCCGAAAAUAUUUUGAGAAAAAAUUUACGGCUCCUAUUCUCUCUAUCUGGUCGCCGUCUCCAGUCCUUCAAAAUCAAAUACAACUUUGAAGUAGUGUCCACUUUCCAGUCCAAGUAACACUAUAGUAAAAUACUAGACUGAUCAACUGGACCAACAUGAACAAAAACAUUAUCAAGAUAAAGACAAGAAAAAAGACAAGCUGCAAGAAUUCAUACACACCACAGCAGCAAACGGGCACUAAAUAGGUUUUCAAAUCACAAGUAGAAUCAAAUUCUGGCAGAGUAAUGACAACCCUUGAAGACAAAGAGUCAAGAGAGAACUUAAGUGGUCUAGGAUGUAAAAAAAAAACUAUGUGAUUACAAUAUGUUUAGAAAAUUAGAAGACUUCUCAUUACCACUCUAAGAGACUUCACAAAUAGCUUAGGCUGUCUCCAACAGGAGACUCAUUUGGGAACCCAAAUCUAAAAUGGGUCUCCAACACAAUACCUAUAGCCUCCAACAGAGUACCCAUACAGAAGAUCCAUUUUGGGUAUUAGGAGAGGCAUAACCCAAAUUUGGAUAUCCUCUCUCCUCGAGACCUAUUUGCAGAGAGUGUUGUCUUUUAGGUACGGAACCUUUUACCUGUAGCGCUACCCAAAGGACAAAUGAGUCUUGUAUUUUGGGUGAUGAUUGUCGGAGAUAGUCGAUAUCUUUCAUCCUAGAAGUGAUUAGCAGCAUGUAGUACCGCGAGAUUAAGCCACUACUAGCAGGUAGCACGGCACUAGAACGGACCAUUCAAAAGCAAAUUAGCAUCCAGGAACCAACUUCAGGCACUAGAAAGGACCAUGCCAAAAUCAAAUUAACAUCCAGGAACCGACUUCACAACCUAGAUGGAUUUCACCUAUCCAGAACAACCAUUAAAGUCUAGCAGCUACAUGAUUCGACCUAGGCCUUGUUUAGUUCACCCAAAAAUAAAAAACUUUUCAAAAUUCUCCGUCACAUCAAAUCUUGCGGCAUAUGCAUGGAACACUAAAUAUAGACGAAAAUAAAAACUAAUUACACAGUUUACCUAUAAAUCGCGAGAUUAAUCUUUUAAGUCUAGUUAUUUCAUGAUUGAACAACAUUUGUCAAAUAAAAACGAAAGUGCUAUAGUCCCGAAAACCAAAAAAUUUUCGGAACUAAACAAGAUUUUACCUAUCUGGAACAACCAUUAGGGCAGUCCCAAUGGACAAUUUCUAGGAGUAGUUUCCAAAAGAGAAAAAGAGUAAUUAAUGUUAAUAGAAAUCAUUCUUUUCAACCCAUAGUUUCUAUACUAGUGUUUAUACAAAGGAUAACAUAAAUGCAGAAAAAAAAGGAGGUAGAUCAACUGUGGCAAAUAUUUCUGUAGCCAACAUAUUUUCCGAACACACGAUGUUUUCAAAACACACGAUGACAAAAAAAAAAAAACAGCAAAAUAGCUGCAGUCCAACACAUGUUCCAGAACCAUAUGCUAUCAAAUAACAACUAAUAUAUAUUUCGAGAACCAUAUAUUAAUUAAUUAAUAAAAUCAAUCUGAAAUAAAGAUAAUAUGUAGCAACACUAAUUUUAGCAUUUAGCAGCAACUAAAACUUGCAGACUCCCAAACUAUUUCUGGAAACGAACAUCAAGCAAUGAGGAGGAGAAUCAAUUGACACGGAUGCAUGCAUCAAGCAGAAGCACAAAGAAAGCUAGCAAAGGUGAGUAUGCGCUUGCUGGAGUGAGUAUGCGCUUGCUCGAAUCAAGCGGGGAGGCGGCGGAGUAGCAGCAGGAGCGCCACCACCUCGAGCAGGAAGGGCAGCAGAGGCCACGCACAUCCACGCAGGCACGCAGAGUCGUUGCUCCGGCCGCUGGCUGCCCCGGCCCCCUCGCCGUUGGCCCGGUGCGCCGCGCAGGCAGCAAGGCCACACGGCGGUAGCAACACAGGGGAAAAUGGCGAGGCCGAGGCGGGAGCGAGCGCGGGAUGAGCCGGAGGGCGAGCGCGUGACAUUUGCUUGCUUGUGCGGCGACGUACUGGAUCUAGAUGGAAACUACUCAAGUCUCCCCAAUGGCAUUUUCAUAGUUUCUUGUUGCAUUGGUGCGAGCGUCGACUCGGUUUCGUGCAGAAGAAACCAAUUCUUCAUUUUACCCUCUCUCUCUUCAUUAAUUCUUUUGCCAUAUCAACAAAAUAGUGAGUUGUGUGUUGCAUGGGUUGCUACUGGUUUGUCAUUUAUGUUGAUUGAAUUGAACAUUCUUGAAUCUCCGGUCAUGUGUUGAGUGCACCCACUAUCAAGAACCCAAUGCCUUCCUCCGACUUUAUAAUUCACCUACAAAUGAAGGUUAGUGACUAAGUUCUUUGGUACCCAAAUAACUUUCUUCUUUGAGCCCACAAUUGGUGCACCAAUGAACUUAGGUUGCACCCCAUUAACACUUUUGGUAAGCAUAUAACAAGAGUCAAAUUUAAUUGAGGAUACAUUGUUUGGUUUGUUCUUGUUCUUGCAAUAUUGCUCUAUGUGCCCAAUUUGCUUGCAUCUAUUGCAAAAUUGACCAUUACCCUUCACAAAGCUAGCUUUGGGAGUGGCAAAGGUCACCUUGCCUUUCUUGGAGGUAUAGCCUAAUCCCUCUUUAUUGAGAGAAAAUCUUUGGGUACCCAAGCAUUUUAGCAAGCAGGCCUCACCACCAUAGGCAU
This 2838-nucleotide long non-coding RNA is filed under the name Sorghum bicolor (sorghum). RNAcentral's name for it is "long non-coding RNA (SBIC_LNC004307)". The record is from RNAcentral. Lineage: Eukaryota; Viridiplantae; Streptophyta; Magnoliopsida; Poales; Poaceae.